UACGUAGGAGGCAAGCGUUAUCCGGAUUUAUUGGGCGUAAAGGGAACGCAGGCGGUCUUUUAAGUCUGAUGUGAAAGCCUUCGGCUUAACCGGAGUAGUGCAUUGGAAACUGGGAGACUUGAGUGCAGGAGAGGAGAGUGGAACUCCAUGUGUAGCGGUGAAAUGCGUAGAUAUAUGGAAGAACACCAGUGGCGAAAGCGGCUCUCUGGUCUGUAACUGACGCUGAGGUUCGAAAGCGUGGGUAGCAAACAGG
RNAcentral lists this ribosomal RNA (253 nucleotides) under uncultured bacterium. Its description in RNAcentral is "partial 16S ribosomal RNA". It matches the Rfam family "Bacterial small subunit ribosomal RNA", at positions 524 to 776 of the family's 1533-position model. The record is from RNAcentral.